This 292-nucleotide ribosomal RNA is filed under the name uncultured Acidobacteriota bacterium. RNAcentral's name for it is "uncultured Acidobacteria bacterium partial 16S ribosomal RNA". The record is from RNAcentral. Lineage: Bacteria; Pseudomonadati; Acidobacteriota.
GGACUACUGGGGUAUCUAAUCCUGUUUGCUCCCCUAGCUUUCGUCAUUCAGCGUCAGUUGUGGUCCAGCGCGCCGCUUUCGCCACGGGUGUUCCUGCAGAUAUCUACGCAUUUCACCGCUACACCUGCAAUUCCACGCGCCUCUCCCACACUCAAGCACAGCAGUUUCGGAAGCAGCCUAUGAGUUGAGCCCAUAGAUUUCACUCCCGACUUGCCACACCGCCUACUGACCCUUUACACCCAGUAAUUCCGAACAACGCUGGCCCCCUACGUCUUACCGCGGCUGCUGGCAC